CGGCGUGUAGCGUAGUGGCUACGCACUAGUUUCGGGAACUAGACCAGGGAGGUUCGAUUCCUCUCACGCCGA
Molecule: transfer RNA, 72 nt
Filed under: Sandaracinaceae bacterium
Lineage: Bacteria; Pseudomonadati; Myxococcota; Polyangiales; Sandaracinaceae
Description: tRNA-Pro
Rfam family: tRNA
About the family: Transfer RNA (tRNA) molecules are approximately 80 nucleotides in length. Their secondary structure includes four short double-helical elements and three loops (D, anti-codon, and T loops).
Source: RNAcentral